Long non-coding RNA from Bombus pyrosoma, 408 nucleotides. RefSeq lists it as uncharacterized. The record is from RefSeq and is a predicted model, not a curated record. The transcript has 3 exons. NCBI's taxonomy places the organism in Eukaryota, Metazoa, Arthropoda, Insecta, Hymenoptera, Apidae.
CACCAUGUGCCAUACAUGGUACUACUGAGAAAUAGCGUGGGUGUCACACAUAAAGUAUUUCUCUUGUCAUUUUUCACCAAUCAAUAGUUUCUUUUUAGUUGUUUAUUUUGUAAGAAAUGACAGGUACUCUAGCCUGUUUAAGAUAACGGAGAAAACCAAGUUCCUCUGGCCUUAAAAUUAGUAACGCAUGACCGCUGCUACCUUCUCCUCGAGCUGUUCUACCAACACGGAUCAUCUGGAGGAUCAUAUUGUACAAUCCAAUCAACAGCUGGUAUAUCAAGACCACGGGCGGCCACAUCAGUACAAAGGAGUAUACCAGAAGACGCGUUACAGAAUUGGAAAAAUGUUGUUGUUCUCUUCGUUUGUUUCUGUUUCCCCUAUUAAAUAAUUAAAAUAUGUAAUAUAAAA